Molecule: ribosomal RNA, 433 nt
Filed under: uncultured bacterium
Lineage: Bacteria
Description: partial 16S ribosomal RNA
Rfam family: Bacterial small subunit ribosomal RNA
Source: RNAcentral
AACGAACGCUGGCGGCAUGCCUAACACAUGCAAGUCGAACGAGACCUUCGGGUCUAGUGGCGCACGGGUGCGUAACGCGUGGGAACCUGCCCUUAGGUUCGGAAUAACUCCCCGAAAGGGGUGCUAAUACCGGAUAAUGUCUUCGGACCAAAGAUUUAUCGCCUUUGGAUGGGCCCGCGUUGGAUUAGCCAGUUGGUAGGGUAAAAGCCUACCAAGGCGACGAUCCAUAGCUGGUCUGAGAGGAUGAUCAGCCACACUGGGACUGAGACACGGCCCAGACUCCUACGGGAGGCAGCAGUGGAGAAUAUUGGACGAUGGGCGAAAGCCUGAUCCAGCAAUGCCGCGUGAGUGAUGAAGGCCUUAGGGUUGUAAAGCUCUUUUACCCGGGAUGAUAAUGACGGUACCGGGAGAAGAAGCACCGGCUAACUCCGUG